Molecule: non-coding RNA, 418 nt
Organism: Cinara cedri
Lineage: Eukaryota; Metazoa; Arthropoda; Insecta; Hemiptera; Aphididae
Source: the annotation of a GenBank genome assembly
AUCAUGUGGAUUGUGGAGUACACGGAAAUUUAAAAAAAUAAGAAGCAAUAAGAAUUUACGUUGAAUCCUUUCAAGGGCACAGUAACAUUGAAAGUGAAAUAAUUUUUUUAUUUUGACUUAACAAUCUUUUAAAAAUUGUUAUCACAAAUCCAUAAAUUAAAAAAAAUAUGCUCAACGGUCUAUUUUGACGGGAAUCAAACGUGUAUUAUACCCGGUUUCUGGUUUAGUAGGUUAUCACUAUGACUGGAGGAUCUUAGAUUGAUAACGUUAUAUAUGGUAGUUAUAUCAUACUACGGUAGUUGAGAUAUUAACCACAUUGCCGUGAUAUACUUAUUAGUUUGGUAUCCUUAUUGUAACUAGUAUUCGGUAAGGCACAUUUAAAUCCGAUAUUUUUGAACUAAUUAAAUUUAAAAAAAUU